This 470-nucleotide ribosomal RNA is filed under the name uncultured bacterium. RNAcentral describes it as "bacterial SSU rRNA". It matches the Rfam family "Bacterial small subunit ribosomal RNA", at positions 335 to 802 of the family's 1533-position model. The record is from RNAcentral.
ACUCCUACGGGAGGCAGCAGUGGGGAAUAUUGCACAAUGGGGGAAACCCUGAUGCAGCCAUGCCGCGUGUGUGAAGAAGGCCUUCGGGUUGUAAAGCACUUUCAGUAGGGAGGAAGGUAGUGUAGUUAACACCUGCAUUAUUUGACGUUACCUACAGAAGAAGCACCGGCUAACUCCGUGCCAGCAGCCGCGGUAAUACGGAGGUGCGAGCGUUAAUCGGAAUUACUGGGCGUAAAGCGCAUGCAGGCGGCCUGUUAAGUCAGAUGUGAAAGCCCGGGGCUUAACCUCGGAAUUGCAUUUGAAACUGGCAGGCUAGAGUCUUGUAGAGGGGUUAGAAUUUCAGGUGUAGCGGUGAAAUGCGUAGAGAUCUGAAGGAAUACCAGUGGCGAAGCGGCCCCUGGACAAAGACUGACGCUCAGACUGCGAAAGCGUGGGAGCAAACAGGAUUAGAUACCCCUGGUAGACUGUCA